CUAAUAUUAUGAGCUUAAAUUACCUGAACUAGUUUAUCAACAAAUGAACCCUAAUUAUUGCUAAGAAGUAUGUUGGGGAAAUUAAUAAUUGAUAUGGUGUGGUGUGUGAGGAAUUAUCCUGCAUAUAGCCCACACUGCAAUCAUCGCGCAUCUGAUGUUCCUCCAAGAAAUCUCAAUCAGAUCUUCUCGAUUGGAGAUAAAAAGUAGGCCGCAC
This 214-nucleotide long non-coding RNA is filed under the name Elaeis guineensis (African oil palm). RNAcentral's name for it is "long non-coding RNA (EGUI_LNC016623)". Lineage: Eukaryota; Viridiplantae; Streptophyta; Magnoliopsida; Arecales; Arecaceae. The record is from RNAcentral.